GUCCCUGUGGUGAAAUGGAUAUCACAAGAUCCUCCUAAGAUUUAGUUACAGGUUCGAUUCCUGUCGGGGAUACCA
This 75-nucleotide transfer RNA is filed under the name Achromobacter mucicolens. RNAcentral's name for it is "tRNA-Arg". It matches the Rfam family "tRNA". From Rfam's summary of the family: Transfer RNA (tRNA) molecules are approximately 80 nucleotides in length. Their secondary structure includes four short double-helical elements and three loops (D, anti-codon, and T loops). The record is from RNAcentral. Lineage: Bacteria; Pseudomonadati; Pseudomonadota; Betaproteobacteria; Burkholderiales; Alcaligenaceae.